Molecule: unclassified non-coding RNA, 455 nt
Filed under: Hevea brasiliensis (rubber tree)
Lineage: Eukaryota; Viridiplantae; Streptophyta; Magnoliopsida; Malpighiales; Euphorbiaceae
Source: RNAcentral
GGCGUCGAGGCCCUCCUUGCAGGUAUCCUGGUUGCCGAGUGCAGCACUGAGCCAGGAGCGGAGGUCGGAUCGGGCGUUGCCGGUGCCUUUAUUGACAGGUGCAGUUACGGAGCGGUUAUUGGUUGGGGAGGUGGAGAUGGACCAGGUGAGCUCGUCAGCUGAGAGGUCGAGGAGGUCGAGACAGUCAGAGAUAGCGGAGGUGAGGCGGAGAUCAUCGCCGAGGAUGCCGUUGAAUCUUGAGAUGAUUGAGACGACCCCCUCGAUCUCGUCGAUGGUGGAGCGGAGCGUGGAGAGGAAGGUUGAGGAGGCGGAGAAGCCGGUGGGGGAUGGGGACUUGGGGGAGGAGGGGAUGCACUCCGGCUGAAGCGCCGGGGAUGAAAGCGAUAGCGGCGGUGACAGGAUGAGGAUGAGAAGGAGAGACGCGAGAUGCAGAGCCAUGAGAGGCGGUAUCCUCG